Molecule: ribosomal RNA, 440 nt
Filed under: uncultured bacterium
Lineage: Bacteria
Description: partial 16S ribosomal RNA
Rfam family: Bacterial small subunit ribosomal RNA
Source: RNAcentral
CCUACGGGAGGCAGCAGUGGGGAAUAUUGCACAAUGGGCGAAACCCUGAUCCAGCGACGCCGCGUGAGUGAAGAAGGAUCUCUGUAUUGUAAGCUCCAUUUGUAGGGAAGAAAAUGACGGUACGUGUUUCAGAAGGCACGGCUAACUACGUGCCAGCAGCGGCGGCAACACGGAGGGGGCAAGCGUUAUCCGGAUUUACUGGGAGUAAAGGGGGCGUAGGCGGCAGCACAAGUUUGGAGUGAAAUGGCGGGGCUUAACCCCGGAACUGCUUUGGAAACUGUGCAGCUAGAGUGGAGGAGAGGUAAGUGGAAUGCGUGGUGUAGCGGUGAAAUGCGUAGAUAUUAGGCAGAACACCGAUGGCGAAGGCAGCUUACUGGACUGUAACUGACGUUGAGGCACGAAAGCGUGGGGAGCGAACAGGAUUAGAUACCCCAGUAGUC